UACGCAGGGUGCAAACGUUGCUCGGAAUCAUUGGGCGUAAAGCGCACGUAGGCGGCGAAGCAAGUUGGGUGUGAAAGCCCUGGGCUCAACCCAGGAAGUGCAUUCAAAACUGCUUCGCUUGAAUCUCGGAGGGGGUCAGAGAAUUCCCGGUGUAGAGGUGAAAUUCGUAGAUAUCGGGAGGAAUACCAGUGGCGAAGGCGCUGACCUGGACGAAGAUUGACGCUGAGGUGCGAAAGCGCGGGGAGCAAACAGG
RNAcentral lists this ribosomal RNA (253 nucleotides) under uncultured bacterium. RNAcentral describes it as "partial 16S ribosomal RNA". It matches the Rfam family "Bacterial small subunit ribosomal RNA", at positions 524 to 776 of the family's 1533-position model. The record is from RNAcentral.